This 236-nucleotide ribosomal RNA is filed under the name uncultured bacterium. Its description in RNAcentral is "partial 16S ribosomal RNA". It matches the Rfam family "Bacterial small subunit ribosomal RNA", at positions 96 to 333 of the family's 1533-position model. The record is from RNAcentral.
CGGCGGACGGGUGAGUAACGCGUGGGUAACCUGCCUCAUACAGGGGGAUAACAGUUGGAAACGGCUGCUAAUACCGCAUAAGCGCACAGUACCGCAUGGUACGUGUGAAAAACUCCGGUGGUAUGAGAUGGACCCGCGUCUGAUUAGGUAGUUGGUGGGGUAACGGCCUACCAAGCCGACGAUCAGUAGCCGACCUGAGAGGGUGACCGGCCACAUUGGGACUGAGACACGGCCAA